Molecule: ribosomal RNA, 253 nt
Filed under: uncultured Lachnospiraceae bacterium
Lineage: Bacteria; Bacillati; Bacillota; Clostridia; Lachnospirales; Lachnospiraceae
Description: partial 16S ribosomal RNA
Rfam family: Bacterial small subunit ribosomal RNA
Source: RNAcentral
UACGUAGGGGGCAAGCGUUAUCCGGAUUUACUGGGUGUAAAGGGAGCGUAGACGGCGAUGCAAGUCUGAAGUGAAAGGCGGGGGCCCAACCCCUGGACUGCUUUUGAAACUGUGUGACUGGAGUGCAGGAGAGGUAAGCGGAAUUCCUGGUGUAGCGGUGAAAUGCGUAGAUAUCAGGAGGAACACCAGUGGCGAAGGCGGCUUACUGGACUGUAACUGACGUUGAGGCUCGAAAGUGUGGGUAUCAAACAGG